GCUGGGCUGGGCAGGCCGCGCCGCCCCACUCCGCUCCAUCUGCCCCCUGGCGCGGGCUCCGGCCGUGCUGUGUCACCCCCGCGGCUCAUCCGUGCACAGCUCGGCUCGCCUGGCCGGCCUCGGCACCGCGGGGGUGGCAGCAGCGCAGGGAGAGCCUCAGCAGGGUGUGGGCCUUGCAGGAGGUCUCAGCGUGAGGCCGGCGGCGUGGGCCGUGACUGCAGCACAGCCGCCGGGCGCCGGCUCCUUUGGUUUCCUUUGCUGGAUGUGGUUGUCGUAGUAGCUUAGCUUUAGAAGUGAGGUUCAGCUUGGACAUAAGAGGAAUUUAAUCACAAGAAAGCAUGAUUAGCCAUUGGAAUGGGCUGCCCAGGGAGGCGGCGGAGUCGCCAUCCCGGAAGGAGUGGAUGUGGUGCUCACGGUCUGGCUGUCAAGGUGUGUUCAGUCAAAGGUGGAGCAGGAAAAGCUGCAUUUGUGUGAGGCUGGUGCCAAGGAGAAGUGUGGAGGAAGCAGCGUUGGGGCAGGGCCAUGCUCCCCUUGGCACACCUUCUUCAGUCCCUGCAGCUCUGGGGUUUGUGGAUUUCUCAAGCCUAACCCAAAGUGGAGCAGUGAAAGCAGCCUGUUGAGGGAAUCAAGAGGAUAAAAAAGGCUUUUUUCCUCUCUGCAAGAAGAAAUCUGACGCAGUGGGAACCCAAUCACGCAGACACCAUGAAUGCUUGCAGAAGGAUACAUUCUCUCCGUGCUCACAGACAGAAAACUAAUGGAAACAAAAGUGAGAACUGGCAUAGCACCUCUGGGUUCAAGCACCAGCACGCAGAUGAUCUUGUUACAGUCCACACUCUUUACACAGUGAUCAUCAUGGUCCUUCUAGUGGCACUCUGGGGAGCCUGGUCAAGAAAGGAUUCAGCCUCAUAGCACCAAUAUAACAACUUUCUUUGUCAAAUAUUUAAAGAAGUAUUUGUGCAAAUUUGUGUCAAGAGGUACAAAAAAUGCUCUCAGCAUAUUUCAGUUUACUUGAAACUGCUUAAAUAGUUGCUAUUUGUGGAAGUGAAUCUAUGAAGCAAUUUAACAAGCCAUGUACAGAACAUAAUUUUGUGAAUAACAGAGACUUGUUUGACCUGUACAUAUUUAUAUUAUCUUCAGCAUGUAUAUGAAACUUUAAGCAUGAUAUUCUAGAAAGAAGAGUUCAACUUCUGUUUUAUUGGUCAAGGUUUUGUAUGUCCACCCCAGCUUUCCAUUUGGGAACUUGUCGAGUCUACAUCUGCUAAGUUUGCCUGUCCCAGUCCAUGGUAAAACAUACACUAUAAGCAGGGAAAUAGCCUGCCAUGUCACAACAACAUAGGAAAAAUAAUCAACAAAUCCAUCUAUUCUGCUGGCAAAAGAAAAUUACUGAAAAAGUCAAAUUCUCAUGCUGAAGAGAGUUUAUAUGGGACUUGCAUCCAUUAUUUUUAACUUAUGGUAAUGACUUUUUAAACUCAGCAAUAAAAUGAUGAAAUAAGCUGCUUUUGUGAAUCCUUUGUCACAGAACCAGAACCAGCUGGCUCAAUCUUCAUCUUGUAUAUAUUUAUCUGCAACCACCACUUGCUUUUCCAUAAUUCAUUAACAUCUCAUGGCAGCACCAGCUUCUAUGUACACUAGCCCAUCACUGAUGGGGGGCAUUCCAUCAGUGCUUUAACAUGGGAGCAGUGCUUUGAUGAUGCUCCCAAAAGAACAGCACACAAAGGACUACUUAAGAAAACAGAUGAUUAGCACAUUAAAUACAUUGUCACAGAACAUAGGGACCCAGUUAUAAAACAUGUAGCAUGAACAUUACAAGUGAACACAAAAGGGUGGGCCCUCCCUUGCCAAUAUAUGUUUGAAGCACAUGAGAUGGGAGGACCUACACAUUCUGACAGCAGCACAAAAACUCCCAGUGAUCAGGAUUCAGUGUGCUAGAAGUCAAACACAAAAUCCCAAAUGCACCCUACCAAGGGGAAAAAAAACUAGAAUAAUUGACCACACGUCAUGAUGUAGCAUUUAGAUGUUAAAUUUAUAAAUUCUGCAGGUAUUAUUCUUGCCUCUGAAGCACUGGACAUCCAAAUAAGAUAUUGAAAAUACUUCAUUUUCCUCUUUCACCUUGUGAUGGAGGAGAUGAGGUAUGAAAGUUCAGAGGAGACUGCCGCGGAACAUUAAAUGUUUUGAAAAGUGUAUUUUUUUCUUAAAUUGUUGCUUUCCUGGAAAACAGCCUUGGUUGAUUUAACAGUAACAUUAGAGAUCUAAAUUAAAUAAUUUUUAACAUGUUCAGAAAGACAACUGUA
Molecule: long non-coding RNA, 2291 nt
Organism: Ficedula albicollis (Collared flycatcher)
Lineage: Eukaryota; Metazoa; Chordata; Aves; Passeriformes; Muscicapidae
Exons: 4
Source: RefSeq, a predicted model, not a curated record